RNAcentral lists this ribosomal RNA (755 nucleotides) under Streptococcus downei. RNAcentral describes it as "bacterial SSU rRNA". It matches the Rfam family "Bacterial small subunit ribosomal RNA", at positions 51 to 780 of the family's 1533-position model. The record is from RNAcentral. Lineage: Bacteria; Bacillati; Bacillota; Bacilli; Lactobacillales; Streptococcaceae.
CUAUCUGCAGUGGACGCAUUGAUAUCACCGGAGCUUGCUCCACUGAUAUUAAUGAGUCGCGAACGGGUGAGUAACGCGUAGGUAACCUGCCUGAUAGCGGGGGAUAACUAUUGGAAACGAUAGCUAAUACCGCAUGAGAGUGUUUAACACAUGUUAGAGACUUAAAAGAUACCAUUGUAUCACUAUCAGAUGGACCUGCGUUGUAUUAGCUAGUUGGUAGGGUAGCGGCCUACCAAGGCACCGAUACAUAGCCGACCUGAGAGGGUGAUCGGCCACACUGGGACUGAGACACGGCCCAGACUCCUACGGGAGGCAGCAGUAGGGAAUCUUCGGCAAUGGACGAAAGUCUGACCGAGCAACGCCGCGUGAGUGAAGAAGGUUUUCGGAUCGUAAAGCUCUGUUGUAGCGGAAGAACGCGUGUAAGAGUGGAAAGUUUACACAGUGACGGUACGCUACCAGAAAGGGACGGCUAACUACGUGCCAGCAGCCGCGGUAAUACGUAGGUCCCGAGCGUUGUCCGGAUUUAUUGGGCGUAAAGGGAGCGCAGGCGGUUUAGUAAGUCUGAAGUUAAAGGCAUUGGCUCAANCCAAUGUAUGCUUUGGAAACUGUUAGACUUGAGUGCAGAAGGGGNAGAGUGGAAUUCCAUGUGUAGCGGUGAAAUGCGUAGAUAUAUGGAGGAACACCGGUGGCGAAAGCGGCUCUCUGGUCUGUUCACUGACGCUGAGGCUCGAAAGCGUGGGUAGCGAACAGGAUUA